UCUUGCUAGAAGGUGAGAGCAGCUCUUCUAGUCUGCAUAAGCUGUCCCAUAACUGGAAACCUCUAUACCUUGGUUUUCUGGGGGUGAAGGGUGUUGUGAGCUCAGGAGGUGCCCCUGUAAGCAGUGGAGCAAAAGGAGCUGGAGACAAUAUUCCACACAGAUCAGCCCCUCUGGGGUCUUCUGCAGCUGCAUGGGUCUUGUGAUGGGCUGAGCUGUUCCUCAGGGAGAGGAAAACGAAGGGACAGCCAUCAGAACCUCUACCCUUUGAUCUCUGUAGUCUUUUCAGGACAUUAUUCAGAGUUUGCAGGUGCACCACUGCCAUUUUCUGCAGAUAAGCCCGCACAGUUGUUCAAGGGGAAAUUGAUGGUGAAGGUAAAUGUCCUAUGGUUCUGGAGAAAGUCUUGCUGACCCUGUAGGAUGCGAAAGGUCAAUAAACUGUCAUUGUGUGAGAUGUCUUCUGUCUUCAUUUUGAACAGAGGAUGCAUCUGAAGGAGAGCUGCAGGCUGUGGCCUUGCAAGGGGAUCCUCCUUCCAAGGUGCAGGACUUGGCAUUGGUCCUUGCUGAGUUUCCCAAGAUUCCUGAUGCUCCAAACAGCAGUUCUGCCUUUGAGUGUAUUAACUGCUCCCCACCAUGACCGAUUUGGUGCCCCAUGCAAGCCUGAUGAGAGUGGCCUCCAUGGUUCCCUUUCUCUGGGUCCCUUCUAGAUGAAGAUGUGAAGGAGGGCAAAUCCCAGGAUAGGUUUCAAUAUUGCUUCGCUUGCUACUUCCAGGUAGAGUAUGACACACCAAUGCCUGCCCAUCCUACCAUUUCCCAUCCAUGUAGUUGUCUAUGUAUAUAGACUGUAAUGUCCACAUUUGGAUACAAGGCUCUUUUGGGAGAGGGUGUCAAAAGUUUUGAAAGCUGAUGUGAAUUGUCUCUGUUGCUUUCCCCUUGUUCCCAAACUCAUUUUCAGCUAGAAGGUGAGCAGCUUGGUCAGGUGUAACUUACUCUUGGUAAAUCUGUGCUGUUUUCAGUACUCUCUCCUUCAUGUGCCCAGAAAUGUGUUCCAAGAGUACCUGCUCCAGCAGCCCCAUGCGUUUUUAUAAACUGUGUGUAUCCUUAAACAACCCAGAGUUCUUUGCACUCUUUAUCAGUCACUGGCACUACACACAGUCCUUCCUAAAACUGAAAGCAAAUCUGUUGUUGAACACUGUUAACUCAUGUUGAUUUGGCUUAGCAGCUGCUGCUGCUUUUAUUUUCAAAUUCCACUGAAUAGUUAAAGUGGGCUUUUAAAAUGCAGUUUGUUUGUAAAUCAGGCAGGUCUGCUCAGCAACAGAAAUCAUUACUUUUCAAGUCUUAGAUUUGAUCAAUGCCAUGUUCCUUGGGGUGCCGUUUUAUCUGACAUUUCACACUGUCGUGCAUAUCAAACAAAAACUGCAUCUACUACUUUAAAAAAAUCAUGUUGUGGGUUUUCCAUGCCCUGUGGUGUUUGCUUGUACAUUUUCAUUAUGCAUCACAUAUCCUGCAUUCAGCAGUAACCUCUUUCUGAACUUCUGAAAUUUAAAGCAGAGGUCCUAACAGCUUCCUAUGAAUAAAUCAGAUGCUCUCUGCUCUAUGUAGUAUCUUCUUAGUGUGGUACAUUAACCUGAACCACAUUAAAUAAAAAUAUUGCCUCCAGAUUUCUUUUGGUUAUUUUUGUGGAUUUUGCAGACUCCAGAGUGUGUUUUGGAUGUGUCUUGCAUUACUAGUGUCCUAUGGACCAAGCUGCUUACAGCAUGGCAGUAGCAGUAAUGCAGCAGAGUGCAAUUUGGCACACUUACAGAUUCUUAAGGUCCCCAGUUCCCCAGACUCUUCAAUUUCUCCUGUUGUCUUAAUGUGGGCAAAACCAGGCAGCUUAUUUCUCAACAUAGCUGCCCCAUCAGCAGGAACUGUAGUUUCCCAGCUGGUGCUCUUUGUUACCAGUAAGUUGUUGGAGACCUUGAACCAUCCAGAAAAUGUUCACAGAUAUUUGAGGACCAUAGAAAUGGUCCUAAUGAUGUAGCACUUAAGUGAAAUUUAUAUAUAUGAAGCAAGAGAGACAGAACCUCUAAACUAUUUUAGCAUCUAUAUUAUUGUGCAGU
Neopsephotus bourkii (Bourke's parrot) is the source of this 2099-nucleotide long non-coding RNA. RefSeq lists it as uncharacterized. The record is from RefSeq and is a predicted model, not a curated record. NCBI's taxonomy places the organism in Eukaryota, Metazoa, Chordata, Aves, Psittaciformes, Psittacidae. The transcript is spliced from 5 exons.